UACGUAGGGUGCAAGCGUUGUCCGGAAUUAUUGGGCGUAAAGAGCUCGUAGGCGGUCUGUCGCGUCUGGUGUGAAAACUCAGGGCUUAACCCUGAGCUUGCAUCGGGUACGGGCAGACUAGAGUGCGGUAGGGGAGACUGGAAUUCCUGGUGUAGCGGUGAAAUGUGCAGAUAUCAGGAGGAACACCGGUGGCGAAGGCGGGUCUCUGGGCCGUAACUGACGCUGAGGAGCGAAAGCAUGGGGAGCGAACAGG
Molecule: ribosomal RNA, 253 nt
Filed under: uncultured bacterium
Lineage: Bacteria
Description: partial 16S ribosomal RNA
Rfam family: Bacterial small subunit ribosomal RNA
Source: RNAcentral